CCCAGCCGUGGGAUGUGGGCACUGCUGUCAUCUCACGGAGGCCCUGAGGGCUUCGUCAGAGUGGCAGAUCUCAGCUCUGAGCACGGUCAGCUGGCUUGGGCUGGGGUCUCGACCUUACUGCGUGCCACAGUCAGAAGGAGCCGAAGCAUCUCAGGGGCGGGGAGAGUCUGGGUCAUGUCUGGGUCCCUGGUGACCACCAGCGUCUGUCCACGGUAGGUGCUUGGGAAGGGUGGUCACUUAGACAUGGGAGUGGUGAGAGGGGAUGGGCAAGGGGCUGCUGAGCACCCCCCAGAGAGACCUGCUGUUCUGUGGUGACCCACCUGUGCUUACUCCACCGCGAUGGCCACAGGGCCUAUUUGCAUAGCACAGCCCUGCCAGGGAGCAUGCUGACGCCAGUCCUCAUGGUACAGGGAACACGGGGGUCGCACGCCCACAGCCAUGCAGCAGGACCUGUCCUGGCAAACUCCUGACCUCAGCCUCGGGAGCGACACCUCACCAAUUGCUUUCACCGGAUUUCCCGGCCUGUGUGGCUCCAGGCCUGGGUCCACAAAGCCACAGAAUAUGCAGGACUCAUCUUCCUGGUGGUCAACUUUACCAAAAGGCAUGGGCCCAAAAUUUGUAAUGCAGUGGUCAAGUAAUUUUAACUCUUUAAUUUUUAGCCAGCGUGGAUGUAGUAUGGAGUAGAAAGUAAAACUCUCAGGAAUUUUAAAGAUAAAAGCCAAGGACUUGGAUGAACUUCACUGCUCAAAGCCAGCUGCUUUGGGCUCUGCCCCUGUGAGGGCUGGUCCUCCCCUGGGCCUGUGGGACGGGGCUGGGAAAGCCUCGGCAGCAGAGGAUGUACGUGUGCUCCUCGGUUGGCACAGUUGGCAGAGUGGCGAGUACACAGCCCCCGGCCGAGCCUAGGGCACCUGUAUCAGCCCCACUGUCCAGCCUGGCCCCUGGGAGCUGAACGCAGGCACUCACCUCUGGGGCAAAAGAAGCCGGCAGGGCAGGGGUGCUCGUGGUAGGUGCUGACACUCUCAGGGCAGUAGUAGCCGGCGGGGCAGGGGAAGCAGGAGGCUUGGCCAGUCAGGUUGCUGUAGGAGCCAGCAGGGCAAGGCUGGGAGAGGCUGGUCCCCCUGGGGCAUAAGUGACCUCGGGGACAGGGGCCCCCCUUCUCUGAGUGGCCUGAGGAGAGGAAGGAAGCUGAGUGAGGGGUUCAGGCCCCAUCACAGGGGAGUGUGAGCAGCCUGGGCCGACUGGUGUGGCACUACUGGGACCAAAUGCGGGCUUGGGUCUGGGUCAGAGGUUCGAGUGUUUUAGAAAGAAUUCUGGUAACUAAUGGUUGUAUAGCACCUUCCAGAUCAAAACCACGUUGUAUCGUCUGAGCCUCCCAGAAGCCCUCUUUGGCAGCUGGGCAGGAAUAAGCACCCACUUUUACUGGGGUGACGUUAUGCCCAGUGACUCUCUGUGCCCAGACUCAGCUGGUGUCUGACAGUCCCCUGGCGCUCUCUCAAGGGCACGCUCUG
Molecule: long non-coding RNA, 1508 nt
Filed under: Equus caballus (horse)
Lineage: Eukaryota; Metazoa; Chordata; Mammalia; Perissodactyla; Equidae
Description: lncRNA (ENSECAG00000044155.1)
Source: RNAcentral